UACAGAGGGGGCAAGCGUUUGUUCGGAAUUACUGGGCGUAAAGGGCGCGUAGGCGGCCCGCUAAGUCGAACGUGAAAUCCCCGGGCUCAACCCGGGAACUGCGUCCGAUACUGGCAGGCUUGAAUCCGGGAGAGGGAUGCGGAAUUCCAGGUGUAGCGGUGAAAUGCGUAGAGAUCGGGAGGAACAUCAGUGGCGAAGGCGGCCAUCUGGAUCAACACUGACGCUGAGGCACGAAAGCGUGGGGAGCAAACAGG
This 254-nucleotide ribosomal RNA is filed under the name uncultured bacterium. RNAcentral's name for it is "partial 16S ribosomal RNA". It matches the Rfam family "Bacterial small subunit ribosomal RNA", at positions 524 to 776 of the family's 1533-position model. The record is from RNAcentral.